RNAcentral lists this ribosomal RNA (468 nucleotides) under uncultured bacterium. RNAcentral's name for it is "partial 16S ribosomal RNA". It matches the Rfam family "Bacterial small subunit ribosomal RNA", at positions 28 to 507 of the family's 1533-position model. The record is from RNAcentral.
GACGAACGCUGGCGGCGUGCUUAACACAUGCAAGUCGAACGGAAGGGCCCUGCUUUUGUGGGGUUCUCGAGUGGCGAACGGGUGAGUAACACGUGAGUAACCUGCCCUUGACUUUGGGAUAACUUCAGGAAACUGGGGCUAAUACCGGAUAGGAGCUCCUGCUGCAUGGUGGGGGUUGGAAAGUUUCGGCUGUUGGGGAUGGACUCGCGGCUUAUCAGCUUGUUGGUGGGGUAGUGGCUUACCAAGGCUUUGACGGGUAGCCGGCCUGAGAGGGGGACCAGCCACAUUGGGACUGAGAUACGGACCAGACUCCAACGGGAGGCAGCAGGGGGGAAUCUUGCACAAUGGGCGGAAGCCUGAUGAAGCAACGUCGCGUGCGGGAUGACGGCCUUCGGGUUGUAAAACGCUUUAGCCUGUGACGAAGCGUGAGUGACGGUAAUGGAUAAAGAAGCACCGGCUAACUACGUG